RNAcentral lists this ribosomal RNA (537 nucleotides) under Bifidobacterium animalis subsp. lactis. Its description in RNAcentral is "bacterial SSU rRNA". It matches the Rfam family "Bacterial small subunit ribosomal RNA", at positions 162 to 701 of the family's 1533-position model. The record is from RNAcentral. Lineage: Bacteria; Bacillati; Actinomycetota; Actinomycetes; Bifidobacteriales; Bifidobacteriaceae.
GGUAAUACCGGAUGCUCCGCUCCAUCGCAUGGUGGGGUGGGAAAUGCUUUUGCGGCAUGGGAUGGGGUCGCGUCCUAUCAGCUUGUUGGCGGGGUGAUGGCCCACCAAGGCGUUGACGGGUAGCCGGCCUGAGAGGGUGACCGGCCACAUUGGGACUGAGAUACGGCCCAGACUCCUACGGGAGGCAGCAGUGGGGAAUAUUGCACAAUGGGCGCAAGCCUGAUGCAGCGACGCCGCGUGCGGGAUGGAGGCCUUCGGGUUGUAAACCGCUUUUGUUCAAGGGCAAGGCACGGUUUCGGCCGUGUUGAGUGGAUUGUUCGAAUAAGCACCGGCUAACUACGUGCCAGCAGCCGCGGUAAUACGUAGGGUGCGAGCGUUAUCCGGAUUUAUUGGGCGUAAAGGGCUCGUAGGCGGUUCGUCGCGUCCGGUGUGAAAGUCCAUCGCCUAACGGUGGAUCUGCGCCGGGUACGGGCGGGCUGGAGUGCGGUAGGGGAGACUGGAAUUCCCGGUGUAACGGUGGAAUGUGUAGAUAUCGGG